This is a non-coding RNA of Jatropha curcas, 2962 nucleotides long. Lineage: Eukaryota; Viridiplantae; Streptophyta; Magnoliopsida; Malpighiales; Euphorbiaceae. The record is from RefSeq and is a predicted model, not a curated record.
CUGCCCGAUUUCAAGUACGGACUAUUUUCCAAUCGUCUAUUGACUCUAUUUUCUUAUAUGCUGGGUCUCAUUCCGUUGGAAAAUUUAUUGUUUAGGGUUUUGAUUUUGGUACCUUUACUCAUCGUUUUUAGGGAUUUGAAAAUUAGUUUCUUCAAAGGGUCGCCAAGGUUGAAUCUUUGAUGUGAUUUGUUUCGAGACAGGGCAUUUUUUUAGUUGGCUCUUGAAGCUUGAUAUUGAGCAAAUAUCUUCUGGAGUCCAAAUACUUGAAUAUAUUCAAGUCUAUUGAAAAUGCCUAGGGAUUUGUCACGAUCAAGGUCAAGGUCUCCCUCAUAUAGGCGAAGGCGUUCGCCAUCGCCAGUGGGACAUAGGCAUAGCAGGAGGAGCCGAAGGGACAGGAGCCGAUCUCCAUAUUCAUCCUACUCUUACAGCAGCAGGUGAUCCCGUUUAUGUUCUUGCUAUUUAGUUGAUGUAUUUAAUUCUCGAGGAAGUGUAAGAAAGACUGACGGCUUUUUUUUUUUUUUUAUUACCGAUUGGAAAUACAAAUUUUUCAAGUUGAUUUGUACGCAUCUUAUCCUUCUUGAUUGAUCUUUUUGGUGCUUAUCUAACCAAUCCUUUGUUUUUUACCACGUGAUCUAUAUGGUUUUGCUUAAGAGUUUUAUGUUGGAUGGCAUCUCAUUUUAAUUACUGAAAAUGUGAAGCUAAAUAACUUGAAUGCCAACUCAAGGCAUGAUGAUGCAAAAGCACAAAUGGGGAACAUUGCCUUAGUUAUUUGAUGAAUGAAUGUUUUUCCUUUCAUUUUUAAUCUUGUUUAUGUAAAAAUGUUUUUCAAGUUAUUUUGUUUCAGGUUAGCAAAGUGGAAGUUUUUCAUAGGGUAAUUAGAUAUGCAUUCUAAUAUUAUUCUGGUGUAACCCUAUUUCAUAUGUCAAAGUUCACCUGGCAAUUUAGUUAGAGCAUUCCACUGAAAGCAGCUUUGAAUUGGAUUCUAUAUCAAGUUGCUAUUUGGCUUCUUUGUUUUCUUCUUUCAGUGGAUGGAAAUGGAUAAUUUGGUUGUUUAAUCAAGUAUCUUUAUGCAAAUUUUCAGUUCAGAAAGACUUCUUAUAUGGGUGCCAUGAGUAUUUUCUAGAUGCAUAGGAGUCAAUAUUUGACAACCCUCAUGCGAAUACUCAAGCCUUUAUUUCAUCUGAAAUUUUUAUAGUUAUGUUUGUAAACAAAUAGUCAAUGUCACUAUCUCAGUGGGGGCAUCUGCUUUUUGAGGAAUUGCCAUUUACAUGGAGAAGUUGAAUGGAAACAAAAUAUAAUUUUUUGGGGGAGAAAAGUGCAAAGGGUGCCAUAGUUUUCAUGCUAAGAAAAUUUUAAAAACUUGUUUCUUCUCAUCGAGUGGGAUGGGAAAUGAGCAGGUGAUGGGUGCCGAUCGGUGUCCUUUUGUUGCUCGAUUCUGAUAUUACUUUCUUCAUAUGAUAAAAGAUGGAGCACACAAUGGUUAUUCUUAACAAUGAAUGAGGUAACUGUAUAUGCUUCUAUUUUAAUUGUGGUAAAUGGUGAGAGGAUUCCCAAGUUAUUGUGUACACUAGUGAUUCAUUCUGCUUGCUGUUGUUGCUCAUAAUUUCUUUUGUAUCAUACAGAAGGAGAAGUCGUUCUGUUUCUCCACGCCGACGCAAAAGUCGUUCUCCAACACCAAGACGUCGUAAAAGUCGUUCUCCAACUCCAAGGCGUUAUAAGAAACAAAGGAGUAGGAGUUCCUCAUUGACUCCCACUCAUAAAUCCUCUAGUCCAAGUCUUGGGUUAGUGGAACGCAAAAUUGUUAGUGAAAAAUUGAGAAAAGAAGAAGAAGAAGAGAAGAAGAGGCUUUUCUGAAGGAAGAUACUGCUAUAGUUCAACUUGUUAUAUUUGAUGAUGAAAUUGGGUGCUUCGUUUAUCUACUGUUCACCAGUUUUGAUACUCAUUUGUUUGGAUCAGGAUUCGGUUAGAGGUAUGCUGUAGUUCAUCGUGAUGCAUAAGUAUAAUUGUAGUACCUUUUGUCACCUGAAGGUUAGUUUACAAUUUACUAUAGUUAACAAUAAGUGGAGUGAGAGUUGAAAAAAUAUAUAAUGAAAAAGAAAGGGAGCUUGAAUGUCAUAUGUUGUUUUAGUUUUACUUUUAUGUGGAUCUGAAGACGUUUGAAAAUGACGGCAAUUUCCACACCUCUGUAAGUGGCCAUUUUCUGGAUUAAUUUGUUUCAUUUAUUCUCAGGCGCCAGCAGGAAGCUGAACUGAAACUGAUAGAAGAAGAGACAGCAAAGCGGGUAGAAGAAGCUAUUCAGAGGAAAGUUGAAGAGAGCUUGAAUUCAGAGGAGAUCAAGCUGGAAAUUCAGAGACGUUUGGAGGAGGGAAGGAAAAGACUUCACGAGGAAGUGGCCAUUCAGCUUGAGAAAGAAAAAGAAGCUGCUCUUAUUGAGGCCAGGAGAAAAGAGGAACAAGCUCGAAAAGAGAAAGAAGAGCUGGAAAAAAUGCUUGAAGAAAACCGGAGGAGGGUGGAAGAAUCACAGAGAAAGGAAGCUUUAGAACAGCAGCGGAGAGAGGAGGAACGAUAUCGAGAACUAGAAGAGCUCCAAAGACAGAAGGAGGAAGCAAUGAGAAGGAAAAGACAGCAAGAGGAGGAAGAACGUGUAAACCAGAUAAAAUUGUUGGGAAAGAACAAGUCUCGGCCGAAGUUGUCUUUCGCAAUCACAAAAUGAAUACUUGAGCAGAAAGAUCUAAAUUCAUUAUAUUUACAUGUUGGACUUCAUUUUCCUGUUUGCAUUUGUAAUUUGAAGAUUUUGCAAUGGUUAAUACUGUUUAUGGUGUUUGAGUGUACCCCAUAGGAUUAUCAAAGCAUGGUUUUGAUGGGCCAGGGAAGUCAGUGAACUUUGCUUCUUGGGUUCUCGAUAUGCCUCAUUUUUGCUUUAAUGGGUUGUGAAAUUCAGUCCUGGAAGGUUUCCUUUUCA